RNAcentral lists this ribosomal RNA (478 nucleotides) under uncultured organism. RNAcentral's name for it is "partial 16S ribosomal RNA". It matches the Rfam family "Bacterial small subunit ribosomal RNA", at positions 330 to 799 of the family's 1533-position model. The record is from RNAcentral.
CGUACACUCCUACGGGAGGCAGCAGUGGGGAAUAUUGCACAAUGGGCGCAAGCCUGAUGCAGCCAUGCCGCGUGUAUGAAGAAGGCCUUCGGGUUGUAAAGUACUUUCAGCGGGGAGGAAGGCGAUAAGGUUAAUAACCUUGUCGAUUGACGUUACCCGCAGAAGAAGCACCGGCUAACUCCGUGCCAGCAGCCGCGGUAAUACGGAGGGUGCAAGCGUUAAUCGGAAUUACUGGGCGUAAAGCGCACGCAGGCGGUCUGUCAAGUCGGAUGUGAAAUCCCCGGGCUCAACCUGGGAACUGCAUUCGAAACUGGCAGGCUAGAGUCUUGUAGAGGGGGGUAGAAUUCCAGGUGUAGCGGUGAAAUGCGUAGAGAUCUGGAGGAAUACCGGUGGCGAAGGCGGCCCCCUGGACAAAGACUGACGCUCAGGUGCGAAAGCGUGGGGAGCAAACAGGAUUAGAUACCCGAGUAGUCCCAUG